This 913-nucleotide ribosomal RNA is filed under the name Monascus rutilus. RNAcentral's name for it is "eukaryotic LSU rRNA". It matches the Rfam family "Eukaryotic large subunit ribosomal RNA", at positions 49 to 984 of the family's 3401-position model. Lineage: Eukaryota; Fungi; Ascomycota; Eurotiomycetes; Eurotiales; Aspergillaceae. The record is from RNAcentral.
AACGGAGCAGACAACCGGGAUGCCUCAGUAACGGCGAGUGAAGCGGCAAGAGCUCAAAUUUGAAAGCUGGCCCCUCCGGGGUCCGCGUUGUAAUUUGCAGAGGAUGCUUCGGGCUCAGCCCCCGUCUAAGUGCCCUGGAACGGGCCGUCGGAGAGGGUGAGAAUCCCGUCUGGGACGGGGUGCCUGGGUCCAUGUGAAGCUCCUUCGACGAGUCGAGUUGUUUGGGAAUGCAGCUCUAAAUGGGUGGUAAAUUUCAUCUAAAGCUAAAUACUGGCCGGAGACCGAUAGCGCACAAGUAGAGUGAUCGAAAGAUGAAAAGCACUUUGAAAAGAGAGUUAAACAGCACGUGAAAUUGUUGAAAGGGAAGCGCUUGCGAUCAGACUCGCCUGCGGGGUUCAGCCGGCAUUCGUGCCGGUGUACUUCCCCGUGGGCGGGCCAGCGUCGGUUCGGGUGGCCGGUCAAAGGCCCCGGGAAUGUGUCGCCCUCCGGGGCGUCUUAUAGCCCGGGGUGCCAUGCGGCCUACCUGGACCGAGGAACGCGCUUCGGCUCGGACGCUGGCGUAAUGGUCGUAAGCGACCCGUCUUGAAACACGGACCAAGGAGUCUAACAUCUACGCGAGUGUUUGGGUGGCAAACCCAUACGCGCAGUGAAAGCGAACGGAGGUGGGAACCCUUCGGGGCGCACCAUCGACCGAUCCUGAUGUCUUCGGAUGGAUUUGAGUAAGAGCGUAGCUGUGGGGACCCGAAAGAUGGUGAACUAUGCCUGAAUAGGGCGAAGCCAGAGGAAACUCUGGUGGAGGCUCGCAGCGGUUCUGACGUGCAAAUCGAUCGUCAAAUUUGGGUAUAGGGGCGAAAGACUAAUCGAACCAUCUGGUAGCUGGUUCCUGCCGAAGUCCCCCUCUCCAGGAUAAAAA